RNAcentral lists this ribosomal RNA (842 nucleotides) under Streptomyces sp. RNAcentral's name for it is "bacterial SSU rRNA". It matches the Rfam family "Bacterial small subunit ribosomal RNA", at positions 56 to 914 of the family's 1533-position model. The record is from RNAcentral. Lineage: Bacteria; Bacillati; Actinomycetota; Actinomycetes; Kitasatosporales; Streptomycetaceae.
UGCAGUCGACGAUGAACCACUUCGGUGGGGAUUAGUGGCGAACGGGUGAGUAACACGUGGGCAAUCUGCCCUGCACUCUGGGACAAGCCCUGGAAACGGGGUCUAAUACCGGAUAUUGACCUUCACGGGCAUCUGUGAGGUUCGAAAGCUCCGGCGGUGCAGGAUGAGCCCGCGGCCUAUCAGCUUGUUGGUGAGGUAAUGGCUCACCAAGGCGACGACGGGUAGCCGGCCUGAGAGGGCGACCGGCCACACUGGGACUGAGACACGGCCCAGACUCCUACGGGAGGCAGCAGUGGGGAAUAUUGCACAAUGGGCGAAAGCCUGAUGCAGCGACGCCGCGUGAGGGAUGACGGCCUUCGGGUUGUAAACCUCUUUCAGCAGGGAAGAAGCGAAAGUGACGGUACCUGCAGAAGAAGCGCCGGCUAACUACGUGCCAGCAGCCGCGGUAAUACGUAGGGCGCAAGCGUUGUCCGGAAUUAUUGGGCGUAAAGAGCUCGUAGGCGGCUUGUCACGUCGGUUGUGAAAGCCCGGGGCUUAACCCCGGGUCUGCAGUCGAUACGGGCAGGCUAGAGUUCGGUAGGGGAGAUCGGAAUUCCUGGUGUAGCGGUGAAAUGCGCAGAUAUCAGGAGGAACACCGGUGGCGAAGGCGGAUCUCUGGGCCGAUACUGACGCUGAGGAGCGAAAGCGUGGGGAGCGAACAGGAUUAGAUACCCUGGUAGUCCACGCCGUAAACGGUGGGCACUAGGUGUGGGCAACAUUCCACGUUGUCCGUGCCGCAGCUAACGCAUUAAGUGCCCCGCCUGGGGAGUACGGCCGCAAGGCUAAAACUCAAAGGAAUUGAC